Molecule: unclassified non-coding RNA, 348 nt
Filed under: soil metagenome
Description: partial contains 5.8S ribosomal RNA, internal transcribed spacer 2, and large subunit ribosomal RNA
Rfam family: 5.8S ribosomal RNA (bases 1-120)
Source: RNAcentral
GAUGAAGAACGUAGUGAAAUGCGAUAAGUAAUGUGAAUUGCAGAAUUCAGUGAAUCAUCGAAUCUUUGAACGCACAUUGCGCCCGCCAGUAUUCUGGCGGGCAUGCCUGUCUGAGCGUCAUUUCAACCCUCAUGCCCCUAGGGCGUGGUGUUGGGGAUCGGCCAAAGCCCGCGAGGGACGGCCGGCCCCUAAAUCUAGUGGCGGACCCGUCGUGGCCUCCUCUGCGAAGUAGUGAUAUUCCGCAUCGGAGAGCGAUGAGCCCCUGCCGUUAAACCCCCAACUUUCCAAGGUUGACCUCAGAUCAGGUAGGAAUACCCGCUGAACUUAAGCAUAUCAACAAGCGGAGGA